UACGUAGGGGGCAAGCGUUGUCCGGAAUCACUGGGCGUAAAGCGCGCGCAGGCGGCUAUCUACGUCCGGGGUGAAAGCCCAGAGCUCAACUCUGGGACUGCCUUGGAUACGGGAUGGCUUGAGGAUCGGAGAGGCAAGGGGAAUUCCACGUGUAGCGGUGAAAUGCGUAGAGAUGUGGAGGAACACCUGUGGCGAAGGCGCCUUGCUGGCCGAUUUCUAACGCUGAGGCGCGAAAGCGUGGGGAGCAAACAGG
This 253-nucleotide ribosomal RNA is filed under the name uncultured bacterium. RNAcentral describes it as "partial 16S ribosomal RNA". It matches the Rfam family "Bacterial small subunit ribosomal RNA", at positions 524 to 776 of the family's 1533-position model. The record is from RNAcentral.